This 468-nucleotide ribosomal RNA is filed under the name Escherichia coli. RNAcentral describes it as "partial 23S ribosomal RNA". It matches the Rfam family "Bacterial large subunit ribosomal RNA", at positions 2180 to 2647 of the family's 2925-position model. RNAcentral also lists the same sequence under 1 other name. Lineage: Bacteria; Pseudomonadati; Pseudomonadota; Gammaproteobacteria; Enterobacterales; Enterobacteriaceae. The record is from RNAcentral.
AUGGAGCCGACCUUGAAAUACCACCCUUUAAUGUUUGAUGUUCUAACGUUGACCCGUAAUCCGGGUUGCGGACAGUGUCUGGUGGGUAGUUUGACUGGGGCGGUCUCCUCCUAAAGAGUAACGGAGGAGCACGAAGGUUGGCUAAUCCUGGUCGGACAUCAGGAGGUUAGUGCAAUGGCAUAAGCCAGCUUGACUGCGAGCGUGACGGCGCGAGCAGGUGCGAAAGCAGGUCAUAGUGAUCCGGUGGUUCUGAAUGGAAGGGCCAUCGCUCAACGGAUAAAAGGUACUCCGGGGAUAACAGGCUGAUACCGCCCAAGAGUUCAUAUCGACGGCGGUGUUUGGCACCUCGAUGUCGGCUCAUCACAUCCUGGGGCUGAAGUAGGUCCCAAGGGUAUGGCUGUUCGCCAUUUAAAGUGGUACGCGAGCUGGGUUUAGAACGUCGUGAGACAGUUCGGUCCCUAUCUGCCG